Psammomys obesus (fat sand rat) is the source of this 2341-nucleotide long non-coding RNA. RefSeq lists it as uncharacterized. The record is from RefSeq and is a predicted model, not a curated record. NCBI's taxonomy places the organism in Eukaryota, Metazoa, Chordata, Mammalia, Rodentia, Muridae. The transcript is spliced from 4 exons.
AACCUGUGAGGCCUUUCCUAUAGGCAGGGUAAGCAGUAACAACUGCUGUGGAGGGACAUUCUGCUGUGUAAUACCCUGCCAGUCCGAGGAGCCAGAAAAGGAUGCUGCUUUCAAGAAUCAUCCCCAAUCACCACUGCACGUCAAACUCUGGAACUAUGCAUGCAUGGCACAUAGUGACCACUCAAUAAAGAGUCUGAAAAAAAUUGAUCUACUUGCGCGUGUCAAACAGUCAUGAGGAAAGAUCAGAACCACCAUGGCCCUCAAAGACCACUGAACAGAAACUUCUCAUUCUGUAGAUGACACGAUUGUAUGAAGCAACAAGGAGAUGAGAGUCACUGAGAACAUGGACCAUGUGAACCUUCCCUCGGCUUAGGAACCCUGGAAAUUAUCUGCUUGGCAGGUGACUUCUGAUGGACGAGGACUCAUUCUGCACCGAGCUCAGUGAGGAAACAAGAGCGCAGAAAACAGGGAGCAAAGAAAAGUGUCCUGCCCACCCAUAUUCAACCUUCUGGGAAGACAAAAGCAACCAUCUGUGUGCUGGGAUUCGUGGAGAAACCGCAUGAGUAUAGAUAAGACAUCCAUAAGGAAGAGAUGGAGAGAUGGCUCAGAGGGUAUGGGCAUCCUGCUCCAGCAGAGGACUUCCCAGCGCCCUCUUCAGGCUGCUUACAGCUGCCUGCAACUCCAACUCCAGGGAAUCCAGCGACCUCCUCUGGCCUCAUUUGGUAUCUGAGCUCACAUACACAAACCAUAAAUAAAUUUAAGAGUAGAAAUUAAAAAAAAAAAUUAAGACAGAGACCUCUAAAGAUACCUUUCCUUUGUGAGACAGCAGCUGGCUUCUUUUGAAAGCCUCUGGUGAAGAACCCUUCUCUCUUACAUUUUGCCCCUGUGACCAAACCCAAUACAGGAAUACCUCAGUAAUUAAAACUGAAGUUUCAUAAUCACACUUCAAAGUAUGAUUGACUUCUAAUUCUGCAUGACACACACACACAAACAGAGAGAGAAAGAGAGAGAACAUCAACCAGAAAAAGUAUUUUCCAAAUGGUUAAGCAGUGACAAUUUUGUAUUAUUUAUUUAUUGUUUAAUUAAAAAUGUUUUAAGUUGAAAUAGAAUAUAAAAAUCUUCUCCCUUUCUUUUUUUGCUCCAGCUCCUCUAAGAUACCCUCCCUCCAAUCCCUCCUGUAUCCACACUCUCAAGUUCAUAGCCUCUUUUUCUUUUAUUAUAAUUGUUAUGUGUGUCUAUUUGUGUGUUUGUGUGUAUUUGCAUGCCUCCCCCCUCUUUCACCCUCUGGGUGUGUGCAUGUGCAGAUAUUAAAAAAGAAAUUUAUGAGCUUUCAUUUGAAAUUUCUCUGAGGACAUUUCUUCUCAAAAUAAGGGGAUAAAAUGUGUAAAGACCAAGAAAAUCAGAACUAACUUGUACAAGACACUGGAAGAUGAGAUGGUGUAUGAGUUUCAGGAGUAUAUGUCAGAAGGUGGCUUGUGACAUUUUCUGAAGCUAAGACUGAAGGAGAAUGGAUGGUAUUACUUCAUGGACGAUUUGGGGAGCAGAUAGAGCAGCCUCAAAGAUAAAGGGAGGGGUGCGAUAAAUUUUCACCAAUUGCUUAUAAAACAACUUAUAAUCAUUUUCAUCCAACCAUUACUGUAACAAAAUCAAGGUCAGGAGCAACAAAACACCACAAACAUGUUCAGGUUGCCGUGUUCUCACUCAGAUGUCAUUAGAGAGAUAGCUACAGCAGCAGAGAGCUAUAUAUUAACAGUGGGGUACUAGCAGAAGGUUCUAUUGCUAAGAAAAAAUCAGAAUUUAGUUAGUUCUUAUUUUUAAUUAAUGAACACACAGUUGAGUUUAUGUUAAUAUUAUUUUUAUUUACAUGUAUGGGGUUGGGUUUGCAUGUGGGUGCAAAAAGGUGCCUGUAAAAGCCAGAACAAAUUUCGUGGAGCUGAAGUUGCGGGUGAUUUAAGCAACUAUCACAUUAUUCUCCUUGUGGAAUAGUUAAUGUUAUCAAGUUUGUUCAAAGUUUCCAGGUAUCAGAAUAUAUAUUUGACUUGGUAAAGUCUGAAAAAGUUUGAAAAACAAAGCUCCCAAUUGCUUCUUCUCUGCUACAUGGAAUAGAUGACAACCAUCUGUCUCUUAUUCUGAGACUGUUCUAAUUACAUCUAGUCUAUGCCAUUGGCCUUCCAAGCCAUCACUUUGUCCCAGACACGCCAAUAUUAUAGUGUCAAAACUAUUCUUAUUAGAUACAUCACACUUGAAAACAACAUGAAAGUCCUUUUGUCAGAUUGCAUUUGACUCUUUUAUUUGGAAAAUACGAUCCGUAUCAACCUUAUUAAAAAUCUGAAUUGGUGGA